GGGGUUGUGGCUCAAUGGUAGAGCACUCGCCUACAAUGUGUGAGGCCCCAGGUUCAAUCUUCUGCCCCA
RNAcentral lists this transfer RNA (69 nucleotides) under Ictidomys tridecemlineatus (thirteen-lined ground squirrel). RNAcentral describes it as "Spermophilus tridecemlineatus (thirteen-lined ground squirrel) tRNA". It matches the Rfam family "tRNA". Rfam says of the family: Transfer RNA (tRNA) molecules are approximately 80 nucleotides in length. The record is from Rfam by way of RNAcentral. Lineage: Eukaryota; Metazoa; Chordata; Mammalia; Rodentia; Sciuridae.